This 119-nucleotide ribosomal RNA is filed under the name Beta vulgaris subsp. vulgaris (sugar beet). The record is from RNAcentral. Lineage: Eukaryota; Viridiplantae; Streptophyta; Magnoliopsida; Caryophyllales; Amaranthaceae.
GGGUGCGAUCAUACCAGCACUAAUGCAUCGGAUCCCAUCAAAACUCUGCAGUUAAGCGUGCUUGGGCGAGAGUAGUACUAGGAUGGGUGACCUCCUGGGAAGUCCUCGUAUUGCAUCUC